Molecule: long non-coding RNA, 762 nt
Organism: Polypterus senegalus (gray bichir)
Lineage: Eukaryota; Metazoa; Chordata; Cladistia; Polypteriformes; Polypteridae
Exons: 3
Source: RefSeq, a predicted model, not a curated record
UGUAUCCGGCUGCAGGUUGAAGACUCGGCCGCCCACGGUCCGUAGAAAGAGAAGGAGAAAAGCAGCUGUACAGUUUUUCCAAUUCGAAAAGGAAAAGGAGUUGAAAACGUUUUCCGCCACGGAACAAUGGCACAACAGAACUAGUCACAUUUCUCCAUAAAGGCACAGAAUAUAAAACCAACUUUUAUUACAUUGAUUAAAUAUCAAAAUGAAUCCAAGUGCCCUCUUGCAAAGCAAAAAGACCACAGCAUCCAGCUACCUGCCCUCUGAGACAUGAAGGUCACAUUGUCAAGUAUGCAGGGCCUUCCAAGUCAGAUGAAUAACCAUGACUGUGGAAUUGUCAUGUUGAUGGUAUGACCAUUUCAUAUUGUAACUAUAUUUUUGUGUAUGUCUGUAUUUAAUGUUGUGUCCAGGUUUCCUAAUGACCAUUUGGUGGUGUCUCUGUAUUUCAUCCUCGAGGACCCUUCAGUUUAAAUGAGGUGUGUCUCAGCUUUAGUACUCUCUUCUUUCAUUGUAGUAUUUGUUGAGGGAGGAUUAUAUCUGGUUGUUGGUUUCCCAUUUUUGUCCCCUUUUUCAAUCUGUGUUGGGUAUUUGGGUUAUGUUUAUUUUAUUUUAUUAUAUUUGUAUUUUUUAAUUUUAGCAUACUGUCCCUAGUGGUUUUGAUGUUCCACAAACGCCUACCUUUUAAAAUCCAGAUAUUUUAAAUGUAUGUUUAGAAUGGUUUGUAUAAAUAUUUUUGUAACAUUAAACUCCUUGUAACAA